GAUGAACGCUGGCGGCGUGCCUAAUACAUGCAAGUCGAGCGAACAGACGAGGAGCUUGCUCCUCUGACGUUAGCGGCGGACGGGUGAGUAACACGUGGAUAACCUACCUAUAAGACUGGGAUAACUUCGGGAAACCGGAGCUAAUACCGGAUAAUAUAUUGAACCGCAUGGUUCAAUAGUGAAAGACGGCUUUGCUGUCACUUAUAGAUGGAUCUGGGCUGCAUUAGCUGGUUGGUAGGGUAACGGCUUACCAAGGCAACGAGGCGUAGCCGACCUGACGGGGUGAUAGGCCGCACGGGAAGUGAGACGGGGACAAGGCGCCUGCGAGAGGCAGCAGUAGGGAAUGGUCGGCAAUGGGCGAGAGCCUGACGGAGCAACGCCGCGUGAGAGGUGACGGUCUUCGGAUCGUAAAACUCUGUUAUUAGGGAAGAACAGAUGUGUAAGUAGCUAUGCACGUCUUGACGGUACCUAAUCAGAAAGCCACGGCUAACUACGUG
Molecule: ribosomal RNA, 497 nt
Filed under: uncultured bacterium
Lineage: Bacteria
Description: partial 16S ribosomal RNA
Rfam family: Bacterial small subunit ribosomal RNA
Source: RNAcentral